This 497-nucleotide ribosomal RNA is filed under the name uncultured bacterium. RNAcentral describes it as "partial 16S ribosomal RNA". It matches the Rfam family "Bacterial small subunit ribosomal RNA", at positions 28 to 507 of the family's 1533-position model. The record is from RNAcentral.
GAUGAACGCUGGCGGCGUGCCUAAUACAUGCCAGUCGAGCGAACGGACGAGAAGCUUGCUUCUCUGAUGUUAGCGGCGGACGGGUGAGUAACACGUGGAUAACCUACCUAUAAGACUGGGAUAACUUCGGGAAACCGGAGCUAAUACCGGAUAAUAUUUUGAACCGCAUGGUUCAAAAGUAAAAGACGGUCUUGCUGUCACUUAUAGAUGGAUCCGCGCUGCAUUAGCUAGUUGGUAAGGUAACGGCUUACCAAGGCAACGAUGCAUAGCCGACCUGAGAGGGUGAUCGGCCACACUGGAACUGAGACACGGUCCAGACUACUACGGGAGGCAGCAGUAGGGAAUCUUCCGCAAUGGGCGAAAGCCUGACGGAGCAACGCCGCGUGAGUGAUGAAGGUCUUCGGAUCGUAAAACUCUGUUAUUAGGGAAGAACAUAUGUGUAAGUAACUGUGCACAUCUUGACGGUACCUAAUCAGAAAGCCACGGCUAACUACGUG